UACAAUUUCAAAGCAGACCCACCUUAAAAACAUUUUGUUUAAUAAAAUAACUUAAUUAGAAGAGAGCUUCUGGCUGAUGUGGUUGAGGCUGUGAUAAUUUUUCCUUCUCAAAUCAUUUUCUCUGUUUAUUAUACUUAAUUAUAGUGUAAUUAUGUAUCCAUCCUCUAGGCAAAUUAUGCAAUCAGAAAAUGUGAGUGGUUCAUUUGCCACUGCUGUUGGGACCAGUGUUUACAUCCCUAGUACAAAAUAUGAGCAUAAUUCCUAUUAUUUAUAAUGCUACGUAUAUGCAUAUAUAUAAAAGAAGUUUCACACAGGAUGAAGGAUUGGUGUAAAUAUUUUAUUGGCACUCAUUUUUGCAUCAUUCACUCAAUUAGUUUGUGGCCUACUAAUAAUGGAGGUACCAAAGCUCAGGUAAGUAAAAUCUUUACGUUGAAUUUUCUCAAACACAAAUACAUGGCUGAGGAAGGUGGAAGUUGCACAGCUGAGCUUUAAUUUUGACUGGAGGGUCAUUAUUACUUUUAAGAGCUGUUUUUGCCUUUCACUUCCUAAUAUUUCAGGAGUUAGCACAACAAGAGGGAAAGGAGCCCCACAAUAUCCAGUUGUGGAGUUGUGUUCACAUCAUGGGUUCAGACUAACCUAUUUUUAGCCAUGUGCUUCACAAACUUUCUAACCAUGGCAGCCCUGGCUUUAGCAGACUGAGUUGUUUGUUCUUCCCCUUGUUUCCCUUGAUGGGAGUUGACAGGUCAUGUUUGAACAUACCAAAACGUGAAGCCAAGUAUCCAAAUCUUAAAAACCCUCCUAAGAUGGAUGUUUUCUCCUUCUUUGGCCAGCUCUCAGAGUUAAUACAAACUGAAUUCUCACUUGGCACUUUCAGCUACUCUGGCUGUGUUUUUUUUGCAGAAUGAAGCCACUCUUACCAGUGGAGCAGGUGGGGGAGGUGACACAUCUACUGCUGGAGCUCAGCCCUCCAUGUUUGUUACAGCUGGCAGAGGCCCCAGAUGAAGUGAGGAGCCAUGUGGAGAAGUCCUGCAGCCGCCUCGGAACCCUUCCCAAACGCUCUCUAGGUUUUACACUCUUUCAAACAACUUCAUUACCUGCCUUUUUUUUGUUGUUGUUGUUGCCAGG
RNAcentral lists this long non-coding RNA (1125 nucleotides) under Catharus ustulatus (Swainson's thrush). RNAcentral describes it as "lncRNA (ENSCUSG00005011439.1)". Lineage: Eukaryota; Metazoa; Chordata; Aves; Passeriformes; Turdidae. The record is from RNAcentral.